GUCGAACGCGUCUCCGUUAAUGAUUUUAGGUGCUUGCACUUGAAAGAUUUAACAUUGAGACGAGUGGCGAACUGGUGAGUAACACGUGGGUAACCUGCCCUUGAAGUAGGGGAUAACACUUGGAAACAGGUGCUAAUACCGUAUAACAACCAAAACCACCUGGUUUUGGUUUAAAAGACGGCUUCGGCUGUCACUUUAGGAUGGACCCGCGGCGUAUUAGCUUGUUGGUAAGGUAACGGCCUACCAAGGCGAUGAUACGUAGCCGACCUGAGAGGGUAAUCGGCCACAUUGGGACUGAGACACGGCCCAAACUCCUACGGGAGGCAGCAGUAGGGAAUCUUCCACAAUGGACGAAAGUCUGAUGGAGCAACGCCGCGUGAGUGAUGAAGGGUUUCGGCUCGUAAAACUCUGUUGUUGGAGAAGAACAGGUGUCAGAGUAACUGUUGACAUCUUGACGGUAUCCAACCAGAAAGCCACGGCUAACUACGUGCCAGCAGCCGCGGUAAUACGUAGGUGGCAAGCGUUGUCCGGAUUUAUUGGGCGUAAAGCGAGCGCAGGCGGUUUUUUAGGUCUGAUGUGAAAGCCUUCGGCUUAACCGGAGAAGUGCAUCGGAAACCGGGAGACUUGAGUGCAGAAGAGGACAGUGGAACUCCAUGUGUAGCGGUGAAAUGCGUAGAUAUAUGGAAGAACACCAGUGGCGAAGGCGGCUGUCUGGUCUGUAACUGACGCUGAGGCUCGA
RNAcentral lists this ribosomal RNA (739 nucleotides) under Lentilactobacillus buchneri. Its description in RNAcentral is "bacterial SSU rRNA". It matches the Rfam family "Bacterial small subunit ribosomal RNA", at positions 61 to 756 of the family's 1533-position model. Lineage: Bacteria; Bacillati; Bacillota; Bacilli; Lactobacillales; Lactobacillaceae. The record is from RNAcentral.